Molecule: ribosomal RNA, 494 nt
Filed under: uncultured bacterium
Lineage: Bacteria
Description: partial 16S ribosomal RNA
Rfam family: Bacterial small subunit ribosomal RNA
Source: RNAcentral
ACGAACGCUGGCGGCGUGCCUAAUACAUGCAAGUAGAACGCUGAAGGAGGAGCUUGCUCUUCUGGAUGAGUUGCGAACGGGUGAGUAACGCGUAGGUAACCUGCCUGGUAGCGGGGGAUAACUAUUGGAAACGAUAGCUAAUACCGCAUAACAGUAGAUGUUGCAUGACAUUUACUUAAAAGGUGCAAUUGCAUCACUACCAGAUGGACCUGCGUUGUAUUAGCUAGUUGGUGGGGUAACGGCUCACCAAGGCGACGAUACAUAGCCGACCUGAGAGGGUGAUCGGCCACACUGGGACUGAGACACGGCCCAGACUCCUACGGGAGGCAGCAGUAGGGAAUCUUCGGCAAUGGACGGAAGUCUGACCGAGCAACGCCGCGUGAGUGAAGAAGGUUUUCGGAUCGUAAAGCUCGGUUGUAAGAGAAGAACGAGUGUGAGAGUGGAAAGUUCACACUGUGACGGUAUCUUACCAGAAAGGGACGGCUAACUACGUG